CUGUGGGAUCAGUGGCGAACGGGUGAGUAACACGUGAGCAACCUGCCCCUGACUCUGGGAUAAGCGCUGGAAACGGCGUCUAAUACUGGAUAUGUGACGUGACCGACAUGGUCUUGGCGUUUGGAAAGAUUUUUCCGGUUGGGGAUGAGCUCGCGGCCUAUUCAGCUUGUUGGUGAGGUAAUGGCUCACCAAGGCGUCGACGGGUAGCCGGCCUGAGAGGGUGACAGGCCACACUGGGACUGAGACACGGCCCAGACUCCUACGGGAGGCAGCAGUGGGGAAUAUUGCACAAUGGGCGGAAGCCUGAUGCAGCAACGCCGCGUGAGGGAUGACGGCCUUCGGGUUGUAAACCUCUUUUAGCAGGGAAGAAGCGAAAGUGACGGUACCUGCAGAAAAAGCGCCGGGCUAACUACGUGCCAGCAGCCGCGGUAAUACGUAGGGCGCAAGCGUUAUCCGGGAAUUAUUGGGCGUAAAGAGCUCGUAGGCGGUUUGUCGCGUCUGCUGUGAAAUCCCGAGGCUCAACCUCGGGCCUGCAGUGGGUACGGGCAGACUAGAGUGCGGUAGGGGAGAUUGGAAUUCCUGGUGUAGCGGUGGAAUGCGCAGAUAUCAGGAGGAACACCGAUGGCGAAGGCAGAUCUCUGGGCCGUAACUGACGCUGAGGAGCGAAAGGGUGGGGAGCAAACAGGCUUAGAUACCCUGGUAGUCCACCCCGUAAACGUUGGGAACUAGUUGUGGGGUCCAUUCCACGGAUUCCGUGACGCAGCUAACGCAUUAAGUUCCCCGCCUGGGGAGUACGGCCGCAAGGCUAAAACUCAAAGGAAUUGACGGGGACCCGCACAAGCGGCGGAGCAUGCGGAUUAAUUCGAUGCAACGCGAAGAACCUUACCAAGGCUUGACAUAUACGAGAACGGGCCAGAAAUGGUCAACUCUUUGGACACUCGUAAACAGGUGGUGCAUGGGUUGUCGUCAGCUCGUGUCGUGAGAUGUUGGGUUAAGUCCCGCAACGAGCGCAACCCUCGUUCUAUGUUGCCAGCACGUAAUGGUGGGAACUCAUGGGAUACUGCCGGAGUCAACUCGGAGGAAGGUGGGGAUGACGUCAAAUCAUCAUGCCCCUUAUGUCUUGGGCUUCACGCAUGCCUACAAUGGCCGGUACAAAGGGCUGCAAUACCGUGAGGUGAAGCGAAUCCCAAAAAGGCCCGGCUCCCAAGUCUCGGAAUGUAGAGGUCUGCAACUCGACCUCAUGAAGUCGGAGUCGCUAGUAAUCGCAGAUCAGCAACGCUGCGGUGAAUACGUUCCCGGGUCUUGUACACACCGCCCGUCAAGUCAUGAAAGUCGGUAACACCUGAAG
Molecule: ribosomal RNA, 1348 nt
Filed under: Microbacterium paraoxydans
Lineage: Bacteria; Bacillati; Actinomycetota; Actinomycetes; Micrococcales; Microbacteriaceae
Description: bacterial SSU rRNA
Rfam family: Bacterial small subunit ribosomal RNA
Source: RNAcentral